RNAcentral lists this ribosomal RNA (160 nucleotides) under Serendipita vermifera. Its description in RNAcentral is "5.8S ribosomal RNA". It matches the Rfam family "5.8S ribosomal RNA". Rfam says of the family: 5.8S ribosomal RNA (5.8S rRNA) is a component of the large subunit of the eukaryotic ribosome. The record is from RNAcentral. Lineage: Eukaryota; Fungi; Basidiomycota; Agaricomycetes; Sebacinales; Serendipitaceae.
ACAACUUUCAACAACGGAUCUCUUGGCUCUCGCACCGAUGAAGAACGCAGCGAAAUGCGAUAAGUAAUGUGAAUUGCAGAAUUCAGUGAAUCAUCGAAUCUUUGAACGCACCUUGCACCUUUUGGUAUUCCGAAAGGUACACCCGUUUGAGUGUCAUUGU